Molecule: long non-coding RNA, 1156 nt
Organism: Carya illinoinensis
Lineage: Eukaryota; Viridiplantae; Streptophyta; Magnoliopsida; Fagales; Juglandaceae
Exons: 2
Source: RefSeq, a predicted model, not a curated record
CCCUUUUUGUUUACUAUUUGUAUCUUUCUCUUCCUUGUUUUUUUUUUUUUUGUUUUUUGGGGGGGGGGGUGGGCUUUGGAUGUCUGUUGUUGGUGAAUGGUUUGGUGGUUGAUCAUUUCCAAAGGGGACAUAGCUUUGAGGCCAUUCCAACUUGUCCUCAGCUAGUUCUCUUGCAGGUCCUUCCCCGAUGAAGUGCUACCGCAUUUAAUGCAGCCUUCCCUUUGAGGAUCUUGAUGGAUUCUCCUUGAUGGUGGUAUGUUUAGUCUGCAGGUUGCCCAAGGCGCUCCUCUCGCUGUGGACUUCCGUUUGCCCCCGGUGGUCUUGUGCUCCUUAUCAAAUGGAAAAUUCUUAGGCCAUCUGCCAGACUAGGCCUUUGUAGGGCUCGACCUGGUGGGCUUGUUUAGUAGGUUGUGCUACGCCCUUAUUUCUAGGGUUUCAUUUUGGGUUCAACAAAGAAGAUCAAACCAAUCCCAGCCUCAACAAUGGCCUUGGGGAAGACGACCUUGAUGACCACCUUCUCUACUCCAGAUUGCUCUCACAAGUUAAUUUCCUCUCUUUCUCAAUUAAUUGAUGAAUUCAAUUGAACCUCAAUAUCGCUAUAGAAAGAUGAUGGUUGGAAGCCAUAAUAUCGCUCCAACAUCCAUCAUUAAUGUUGUCCAAAGGGAAUGAAUUGGUGGAUGGCAGGUUUGCCCUGUUGUGGCUUAAAGUGACCCAAGAAUCUGCACAAAUUAUUUGGGAAUGCAAAAGUUAUUUGAGAUUGGACUGAGGAAGGGCUCACGAUCUUUUGCUGAAGCUCAUGCUGUAGGAUUCACUGAGGAGACCGGAAGUCUGGGUGAUAUUUGGGAAACUGUCGCAGGCAGUGAUCUUGUGCUGUUGCUGAUAUCCGAUGCAGCACAGGAGAGAGCAUAGCAUAGCAUUUUCAUAUGGCUUUAUAUAAUGGACGUGGAUCAUAAUAGCAUAGCAUUUAUAUGUCCUAGUGUUUGAAAAGUGCAGAAUCCGAGUCAUAGCUAGGAAUUAAACAAGUACUGCUUGUUCAGUAUCAUGCAAGUUUUCCGAUAUACGAGUGAUCUUCUCUUUCAACUUUAUCUAUUUGAAUUGUUUUCCUUAGGUGCAUGGCUAUUAUACAUAGUUUAAGACCACUUGUUUUUUUAGCAAA